AAAAAAGCCUCUAGCGAGCUGACACGGUGCCCGUACCCCAAACCAACACAGGUGGGCAGGUAGAGAAUACCAAGGCGAUCGGGAGAACUGUGGUUAAGGAACUCGGCAAAAUGCCUCCGUAACUUCGGGAGAAGGAGGACCCCAUCAGGGUGAAGGACCUCGCGUCCAGAGCUCGAAGGGGUGGCACAGACCAGGGGAAAGCGACUGUUUACUAAAAACACAGCAGCGUGCGAAGUCGAAAGACGAUGUAUACGCUGUGACGCCUGCCCAAUGCCGGAAGGUUAAAGGGAAGGGUUAGUCCGCAAGGACGAAGCUCUGAACUGAAGCCCCGGUGAAUGGCGGCCGUAACUAUAACGGUCCUAAGGUAGCGAAAUUCCUUGUCGGGUAAGUUCCGACCUGCACGAAUGGCGUAACGACUUUCCUACUGUCUCAACCACAGACCCGGCGAAAUUGAAGUACGAGUAAAGAUGCUCGUUAGCUGCAGAAGGACGGAAAGACCCCGUGGACCUUUACUAUAGCUUGAUGUUGGGUUUUGUUAUGUGUUGUGUAGGAUAGGUGGGAGACUGGGAAGCAUUGGCGCUAGUCAGUGUGGAGUCAACGUUGAAAUACCACCCUGCUCAUAACGGAACUCUAACCCACGUCCCUUAUCGGGAUGGGGGACAGCGUCUGGUGGGUAGUUUGACUGGGGCGGUCGCCUCCUAAGAGUAACGGAGGCGCCCAAAGGUUCCCUCAGGCUGGUUGGCAAUCAGCCGUCGAGUGCAAUGGCACAAGGGAGCUUGACUGCGAGACCUACAAGUCAAGCAGGUGCGAAAGCAGGGCAUAGUGAUCCGGCGGUUGCGUGUGGAAGCGCCGUCGCUCAACGGAUAAAAGGUACCCCGGGGAUAACAGGCUCAUCUUCCCCAAGAGUCCAUAUCGACGGGAAGGUUUGGCACCUCGAUGUCGGCUCAUCGCAUCCUGGGGCUGAAGCAGGUCCCAAGGGUUUGGCUGUUCGCCCAUUAAAGCGGUACGCGAGCUGGGUUUAGAACGUCGUGAGACAGUUCGGUCCCUAUCCUCUGUAGCCGGAAGGAACUUGAGAAAAGCUGUCCCUAGUACGAGAGGACCGGGAUGGACGCAGCUCUCGUGUGCCAGUUGUCCUGCCAAGGGCAUGGCUGGUUAGCGACCUGCGGAAGGGAUAAGCGCUGAAAGCAUCUAAGUGCGAAGCCCUUUUCAAGAUGAGGUUCCUCACUGGGUUAACCAGGUAAGGCCUGUGAGAGACGAUCACGUUGAUAGGCCGGAGGUGUAAGCAUGGCAACAUGUUCAGCCGACCGGUACUAAUCGGCCGAGGGCUUGGAUC
This 1333-nucleotide ribosomal RNA is filed under the name metagenome. RNAcentral describes it as "bacterial LSU rRNA". It matches the Rfam family "Bacterial large subunit ribosomal RNA", at positions 1611 to 2925 of the family's 2925-position model. The record is from RNAcentral.